CUACGGGUUGCUGCAGUGAGGAAUAUUGCACAAUGGGGGGAACCCUGAUGCAGCAACGCCGCGUGGAGGAUGACGCAUUUCGGUGUGUAAACUCCUUUUAUAUGUCAAGAAAAUGACGGUAGCAUAUGAAUAAGCACCGGCUAACUCCGUGCCAGCAGCCGCGGUAAUACGGAGGGUGCAAGCGUUACUCGGAAUCACUGGGCGGAAAGGACGCGUAGGCGGGUUGGAAAGUCAGGUGUGAAAUCCUACAGCUUAACUGUAGAACUGCACUUGAAACUUCUAAUCUAGAGUAUGGGAGGGGGAGAUGGAAUUAGCGGUGUAGGGGUAAAAUCCGUAGAUAUCACUAGGAAUACCUAAAGCGAAGGCGAUCUCCUGGAACAUUACUGACGCUAAGGCGUGAAAGCGUGGGGAGCAAACAGGAUUAGAUACCCGUGUAGUC
This 439-nucleotide ribosomal RNA is filed under the name uncultured bacterium. Its description in RNAcentral is "partial 16S ribosomal RNA". It matches the Rfam family "Bacterial small subunit ribosomal RNA", at positions 339 to 795 of the family's 1533-position model. The record is from RNAcentral.